Molecule: long non-coding RNA, 2349 nt
Filed under: Aquilegia coerulea
Lineage: Eukaryota; Viridiplantae; Streptophyta; Magnoliopsida; Ranunculales; Ranunculaceae
Description: long non-coding RNA (ACOE_LNC001315)
Source: RNAcentral
CUAUUCUUGUGAAAUUCUGCAAGUAACACAGAGUUCAUCUUCAUUUCAAAUCGAGGUAUGUGGCAAUGGAAUCCCAAUAGUAAUACUACUUAGUUAGGUAGAACAAAUUUAUGUGUUGUGUCACUUUCAGUGUGUGUGCUAUAUAGUAUAUAUAUCAUCAAAUCAAAGCAAAUGGAUCAAAUUCCAAUUGAGAUCACAACACAUAUACUUUCUAGGCUUCCAGUUAAGUAUGUAUUCAGAUGUAGGUCUGUGUGUAAAGCAUGGUUAAAUAUUAUAGAUGAUCGUAGUAGAUUUGCUCCCUUGCACUUCACUAGAUCACUUGAAGAAGAACAAACAACUCAUCAUAACAAAUCAACUUUAAUCUUUGCGUCUACUGGUAGUCGCCGUCCAAUUUAUCUUGUAGAAAUAAAUCAAGGAUCACAGAACAUUUUUAAGACUUCACAAAUGGAUUUUUGUGGUCCAGACUACAACACAAUAUACGCAAAUUCUUGCCAUGGAUUAUUAUGUUUCUCUUCCACACCAGGCAACAUGGAUGAUAAUGGUUAUUACACAUACAUUCAUAAUCCUGCCACACAUGAAUUUUUCAAGCUGCCAGCUUCUCUUCCCUCUAAUGAGUAUGAGGAGGAUGUUCAUCUCGUAGACCUAGUACCUCGUCCAUGUGUGCAUAAUCUAGGAUUUGGUUAUGACCAUUCAAGUAAUGCUUUCAAGGUCUUGCAAAUUCUAUAUGUGUAUUGGGGCCUUCGUUUUGCCGAACCAGUAAUAGCUCAAGUCUGCACUUUAGGCUCUAAUUCAUGGAGAAAAUUACAGAAUUUUCCUCGUGUGUCCUGCUUUGGAGGUACACCUGCAUUAAUCAAUGGGUCGUUGCACUGGCUGAGUUAUGAGCAUAUAUUGUCAUUUGAUCUAGCGGCUGAAAAUUUUGGGUCAGUUGAAUAUCCCCAUAUUAAUUUUGUACCAACUGCUCAGUUUGGAUUUUACCCCGAAAAUAAUUUCCAACUUGUGGUUUUAGAUGGGUGUCUUUCUAUAGCUGAUUCCUCUUCUGAUGAGGAUGUUGAAUUAUGGAUUAUGAAAGAUUACAAUAUCAAGGAAUCAUGGAUCAAACUUGUUAUCAGGAGAAGAUAUGUCCAAGAUGGAGUGUUAUUCCAAAGUGUUCUUCCUAUUUGUUUUUGGAAACAUGGUGAACUUUUACUGCUUUACGGUUCAAAAAUAUUGGUUUCUUAUGGUAUCCAAAGUGAAAGAUAUACUCCGUAUGAAGUUGAAGGCCUUCCAGUGUUCGGAUUUGAUUGUUUCAAAGGUUUUCGUGGAUAUGAAGUUUAUCCAUAUGUUGGAAAUCUCAUGUCAGUCGACACAAUCCGUGGAACUGAAGUGCAACCAUGACGAAGGAAGGAAUUCUUGUGAGAAUCCUGUAAGUUUCUUUUUUUUUACUUAUUAUCAGAAAAAUGACUAUACAUUAUUGAGAAUUGUAAUAAAACCAAAGGUUCGCCAUUGUGACGUCAAGUUUGUUAGAAACAAAAGUAAACCAGACCUGUGACCGAUAUCAGAACCAAAUGAUUUGCUAUAGUUUCGGUAACUAGUAAUUAUAUAAUGUAAAAAAACUAUUAAAAUCAAUGUAAAUGUCAAACUGGAAUAGAUACAGUAGAUACCAAAACAUGGAUAAAAACUAAAACAGCUAUGAAUAUUGACUGAACAAACUGCAAAGUAAUCUGAACCCUCAUCCCAGCCAGACUCUCAAUGUCUGGUUAUCAAAUCCAGAGAACAUUCUCCAACUUCUGACACAUUUAUAUCUUGUUGUUCAGUGUAAUUGCACCGCGAACAAUACUUGAUCUGGGAUCGUGUGGCUGGCCUGACUUAGCUUGAAGAUCUUGUAAAGGUGUCUUAUAGUGUAUUGCUCUGCUUGGCAAGAAGUAUAGGUUCAGAUAAGACAUUGAGUAAGAACUGGAAAUCUGUUUCAUCUCAAUCUCGGAUAUAUUAUAUAGGAGUAUCGAAGUGCCUCUUUCACAAAAGAGAGUUGGAAGCUCCUUAGUAUUUGGAAGUCAUGUUCUUAUGUUCAGACUUUAUACAAGUAUGUACUGUUUUACUCAUAUUACCGGCAGUUUCUGUUGGAAAUAUACAGAUUGUGAACUUCAUCCUACUAUUAAGAAUAUUACUAUGUUGUUUGUUUAGUUCUGUUAACUCUCUUCUUAUGACAAAAACUUAGAAGAAUGAUAACGAAUCAUGUGUUUAAAUCUUGAAAAUUAUAUUUCUUUAGACAAAAAGAACCAUCAUACUGGUUUUGGUUAUGGUUAAAUACUUAAAUGGAUGACCAUUAAUUGAUUUAACUGGUCAGGUGCAGAAAUAUAAAUUCAUUAAUCA